This is a long non-coding RNA of Mobula hypostoma (lesser devil ray), 1460 nucleotides long. RefSeq lists it as uncharacterized. The transcript is spliced from 4 exons. The record is from RefSeq and is a predicted model, not a curated record. Lineage: Eukaryota; Metazoa; Chordata; Chondrichthyes; Myliobatiformes; Myliobatidae.
UCCAUGACAUGGAUGCUAUCAGAAGGAAAGUGUGCCAGCAUCAUCUUCUGAGGUUAACGAGUUUCUGCAUGUCACCGAACACUCUACUAAACUUCUACCCUGUUGAAAGUAUAAGUGGUAGAUAAAUACAAACUCUGGCAUUGUAUUCUCAUCACAGAACUGAAGGACAGUGUGAGAGUGGUUGUUUCCAAAGGCAUCAAUCUAUCAGACGAUGAGUAAUGAUUAAGUGAUACAAGUAGGUGAAUUGUGGAGAAUGCUAUAGAUAGAAGUCUACUGUACUAAUUGAAGCUUGGCAGUUAGGCAUUUGAAUACAUGAGGAAGUGUGUUGAGCUCUGAUAUCCACAACUGACAGUAGAGCUUUUUGGGCAUUUUCUUUGACCGCUUGCAUUCGGUCGUCUCAGUGGCUGUUUCAUUGUCGGAAAUUAAACAGGAUCAUAGGAAGGUGCAAAGGAGAUUCACUAGGCUAUUUCCUGGAAUGGAGCAGUUCAGCUAUGAAGACAGACUGGUGAAUCCAGGUGUGUCCUCCCUCGAGUAGAGGAAAUUCAAAGGGGUCACAAUUCAGGCUAGUAAAAUGAUGGAGAAGGUAGUUUGCAAGAAGUAUCUAUAUCUUCAAAAAGCAUCCAGUUAAAAUUCAACAUUCUGAGGUAUUUUCUAAGGAUUUUGGCACUUUCAGGAAUUGCUCCAGAAUAAGGCUUUCACAACAGAACAAAGAAAUACAAUGAAAUCAGUGAAGGACUACACACAGUGACUGACGAGCAAAAAAAAGGAUAAACAUUACAAAUCCUAAAAGGCAAAUACUAAAUAAAUAAAUAUGUACUUCCCAUACCAGGCCCAGUUUGCCAUGGACAACUGAAUAAGGAAUUGACAAUAACCAUCAGCAGCGUCCACAUCCAAUAAGCAACGGCGAAAACCACCAUGAGGUGAUGAAACGGUCUCUUAGAAACUUGGUAAAUGAGAAUAUGAAAAUCAAGAAAAAAACACAGAUGUCAUUAAAUAACAGAAUUACUAGAAACAUACGGGAGGUCAGGCAGCACUGGGAACAGAAACAGAGUUAGGGUUUAAAGUCCAAACCCUUUGCCAAUUCUGAUGAGGAGUCUUGGACAUUAGACUUCCACAGAAGCUCUCUAAUCUGAUGAAUUUUAUAACACUUAAAAGGCAUUCAACAUUGACAAGUAUGUUGACGGGAAAGAUUUAGAGGUAUAUAGCCCAAACAUUGGCAAAUGGGACUAGUGUAGAUACGGCUGGAGGACAACAUCAGGUCUCACUGUGGAGGGACAGUUGACAUUUCGGCUCAAAACUGGAUGUACAUCGUCUGAGCCCUGAGUUCUUCCAGCCAUUUGUGUGAUGCUCCAGAUUCCAGUACCUGCUGUCUCCUGUGUCUUAGCUAAGAUUAGAGAGGAGCAUGAUAAGCAAAUGAAACAACAUAAUAAAGUCCGUGUGCAAGCUAUCACCUCAAGGGA